UACGUAGGGGGCAAGCGUUGUCCGGAAUCAUUGGGCGUAAAGCGCGUGUAGGCGGUCCGGUAAGUCGGCUGUGAAAGUCCAGGGCUCAACCCUGGGAUGCCGGUCGAUACUGUCGGGCUAGAGUCCGGAAGAGGCGAGUGGAAUUCCUGGUGUAGCGGUGGAAUGCGCAGAUAUCAGGAGGAACACCGAUGGCGAAGGCAGCUCGCUGGGACGGUACUGACGCUGAGGCGCGAAAGCGUGGGGAGCGAACAGG
This 253-nucleotide ribosomal RNA is filed under the name uncultured bacterium. Its description in RNAcentral is "partial 16S ribosomal RNA". It matches the Rfam family "Bacterial small subunit ribosomal RNA", at positions 524 to 776 of the family's 1533-position model. The record is from RNAcentral.